RNAcentral lists this ribosomal RNA (1039 nucleotides) under Ursulinius pappi. RNAcentral's name for it is "SSU rRNA". It matches the Rfam family "Eukaryotic small subunit ribosomal RNA", at positions 120 to 1162 of the family's 1831-position model. The record is from RNAcentral. Lineage: Eukaryota; Metazoa; Tardigrada; Eutardigrada; Parachela; Isohypsibiidae.
CUAGAUCGUAUAUUUUACAUGGAUAACUGUGGUAAUUCUAGAGCUAAUACAUGCAAUCAGCUCGCUGCCUUGUGCAGCGAGCGCAGUUAUUAGAAUAAAACCAAUCCGGCCUCGGUCGGUAUACUGGUGACUCUGAAUAACCGAAGCGGAGCGCUAAGGUCUCGUACCGGCGCCAGAUCUUUCAAGUGUCUGACUUAUCAGCUUGUAGCGAGGUUAUGUUCCUCGCUUGGCUAUCACGGGUGACGGGGAAUCAGGGUCCGAUUCCGGAGAGGGAGCCUGAGAAACGGCUACCACAUCCAAGGAAGGCAGCAGGCGCGCAAAUUACCCACUCCCGGCACGGGGAGGUAGUGACGAAAAAUAACGAUGCGAGAGCGUAUUUGCUUUUCGUAAUCGGAAUGGGUACACUUUAAAUCCUUUAACGAGGAUCUAUUGGAGGGCAAGUCUGGUGCCAGCAGCCGCGGUAAUUCCAGCUCCAAUAGCGUAUAUUAAAGUUGCUGCGGUUAAAAAGCUCGUAGUUGGAUCCGGGCAGUCGACGCGAGGUGCGGCUUACGUCGCUACUUCGCGCUUCGGCGCCACUAUCCGGCCAUGUCUUGCAUGCUCUUUACUGAGCGUGCUUGGCGACCGGGACGUUUACUUUGAAAAAAUUAGAGUGCUUAAAGCAGGCAUAUGGCCUUGCAUAAUGGUGCAUGGAAUAAUGGAAUAGGACCUCGGUUCUAUUUUGUUGGUUUUCGGAACUCGAGGUAAUGAUUAAGAGGAACAGACGGGGGCAUUCGUAUUGCGGCGUUAGAGGUGAAAUUCUUGGAUCGUCGCAAGACGAACUACUGCGAAAGCAUUUGCCAAGAAUGUUUUCAUUAAUCAAGAACGAAAGUUAGAGGUUCGAAGGCGAUCAGAUACCGCCCUAGUUCUAACCAUAAACGAUGCCAACCAGCGAUCCGUCGGUGUUCAUUCAAUGACUCGACGGGCAGCUUCCGGGAAACCAAAGUGCUUAGGUUCCGGGGGAAGUAUGGUUGCAAAGCUGAAACUAAAGGAAUGACGAAAG